AACCUGGAAAGACCAACAAAGGCAUCGGGGGGCAGGGACGGGGGACCCAUUUCCGGUCCGCCGCGAGCCGGCAACGGCUUGCGCGACCUUGGGGUGAAGUCGCCUCCCGCGACCGGGCAUACCUUCCCGCCCGAACCCGACAGCUAACCUCGCAGGCGUGCCGGAGGGAAUUC
This 173-nucleotide small RNA is filed under the name Actinoplanes sp. RNAcentral describes it as "c-di-AMP sequence". It matches the Rfam family "c-di-AMP riboswitch aptamer (ydaO/yuaA leader)", at positions 16 to 134 of the family's 134-position model. From Rfam's summary of the family: This family represents a conserved RNA structure found upstream of the ydaO and yuaA genes in Bacillus subtilis and related genes in other bacteria. The ydaO/yuaA element is thought to act as a genetic "off" switch for the ydaO and yuaA genes in its native state. The record is from RNAcentral. Lineage: Bacteria; Bacillati; Actinomycetota; Actinomycetes; Micromonosporales; Micromonosporaceae. RNAcentral also lists the same sequence under 1 other name.